GACGAACGCUGGCGGCGUGCCUAAUACAUGCAAGUAGAACGCUGAAGGAGGAGCUUGCUUCUCUGGAUGAGUUGCGAACGGGUGAGUAACGCGUAGGUAACCUGCCUGGUAGCGGGGGAUAACUAUUGGAAACGAUAGCUAAUACCGCAUAAGAGUAGAUGUUGCAUGACAUUUGCUUAAAAGGUGCAAUUGCAUCACUACCAGAUGGACCUGCGUUGUAUUAGCUAGUUGGUGAGGUAACGGCUCACCAAGGCAACGAUACAUAGCCGACCUGAGAGGGUGAUCGGCCACACUGGGACUGAGACACGGCCCAGACUCCUACGGGAGGCAGCAGUAGGGAAUCUUCGGCAAUGGACGGAAGUCUGACCGAGCAACGCCGCGUGAGUGAAGAAGGUUUUCGGAUCGUAAAGCUCUGUUGUAAGAGAAGAACGAGUGUGAGA
RNAcentral lists this ribosomal RNA (440 nucleotides) under Streptococcus mitis. RNAcentral describes it as "bacterial SSU rRNA". It matches the Rfam family "Bacterial small subunit ribosomal RNA", at positions 28 to 460 of the family's 1533-position model. The record is from RNAcentral. Lineage: Bacteria; Bacillati; Bacillota; Bacilli; Lactobacillales; Streptococcaceae.